This 100-nucleotide ribosomal RNA is filed under the name Vibrio chagasii. RNAcentral describes it as "partial 16S ribosomal RNA". It matches the Rfam family "Bacterial small subunit ribosomal RNA", at positions 1444 to 1533 of the family's 1533-position model. Lineage: Bacteria; Pseudomonadati; Pseudomonadota; Gammaproteobacteria; Vibrionales; Vibrionaceae. The record is from RNAcentral.
GGGAGGACGCUCACCACUUUGUGGUUCAUGACUGGGGUGAAGUCGUAACAAGGUAGCCCUAGGGGAACCUGGGGCUGGAUCACCUCCUUAUACGAAGAUA